This 1063-nucleotide ribosomal RNA is filed under the name Diaporthe sp. MF 974. Its description in RNAcentral is "SSU rRNA". It matches the Rfam family "Eukaryotic small subunit ribosomal RNA", at positions 29 to 1104 of the family's 1831-position model. Lineage: Eukaryota; Fungi; Ascomycota; Sordariomycetes; Diaporthales; Diaporthaceae. The record is from RNAcentral.
UGCUUGUCUCAAAGAUUAAGCCAUGCAAGUCUAAGUUUAAGCACCUAAACGGCGAAACUGCGAAUGGCUCAUUAAAUCAGUUAUCGUAUAUUUGAUAGUACCUACUACAUGGAUAACCGUGGUAAUUCUAGAGCUAAUACAUGCUUAAAAUCCCGACUUCGGAAGGGAUGUAUUUAUUAGAUUAAAAACCAAUGCCCUUCGGGGCUCACUGGUGAUUCAUAAUAACUUCUCGAAUCGCAUGGCCUUGCGCCGGCGAUGGUUCAUUCAAAUUUCUGCCCUAUCAACUUUCGACGGCUGGGUCUUGGCCAGCCGUGGUUACAACGGGUAACGGAGGGUUAGGGCUUGACCCCGGAGAAGGAGCCUGAGAAACGGCUACUACAUCCAAGGAAGGCAGCAGGCGCGCAAAUUACCCAAUCCCGACUCGGGGAGGUAGUGACAAUAAAUACUGAUACAGGGCUCUUUUGGGUCUUGUAAUUGGAAUGAGUACAAUUUAAAUCCCUUAACGAGGAACAAUUGGAGGGCAAGUCUGGUGCCAGCAGCCGCGGUAAUUCCAGCUCCAAUAGCGUAUAUUAAAGUUGUUGCAGUUAAAAAGCUCGUAGUUGAACCUUGGGCCUGGCUGGCCGGUCUGCCUCACCGCAUGCACUGGUCCGGCCGGGCCUUUCCCUCUGGGGAGCCGCAUGCCCUUCACUGGGUGUGUCGGGGAACCAGGACUUUUACUGUGAAAAAAUUAGAGUGUUCAAAGCAGGCAUAUGCUCGAAUACAUUAGCAUGGAAUAAUAGAAUAGGACGUCGCGGUUCUAUUUUGUUGGUUUCUAGGACCGCCGUAAUGAUUAAUAGGGACAGUCGGGGGCAUCAGUAUUCAAUCGUCAGAGGUGAAAUUCUUGGAUCGAUUGAAGACUAACUACUGCGAAAGCAUUUGCCAAGGAUGUUUUCAUUAAUCAGGAACGAAAGUUAGGGGAUCGAAAACGAUCAGAUACCGUUGUAGUCUUAACCAUAAACUAUGCCGACUAGGGAUCGGGCGGUGUUAUUCUUGACCCGCUCGGCACCUUACACGAAAGUAAAGU